This 460-nucleotide ribosomal RNA is filed under the name uncultured bacterium. RNAcentral describes it as "partial 16S ribosomal RNA". It matches the Rfam family "Bacterial small subunit ribosomal RNA", at positions 338 to 795 of the family's 1533-position model. The record is from RNAcentral.
CCUACGGGCGGCAGCAGUGAGGAAUAUUCGUCAAUGGGCGCGAGCCUGAACCAGCCAAGUAGCGUGCAGGCUGACUGCCCUACGGGUUGUAAACUUCUUUUAUAAAGAAAUAAAGUGAGGCACGUGUGCCUUUUUGUAUGUACUUUCUGAAUAAGGAUCGGCUAACUCUUUUCCAGCAGCCGCGGUAAUACGGAGGAUCCGAGCGUUAUCCGGAUUUAUUGUGUUGAAAGGGAGCGUAGAUGGGUUGUUAAGUCAGUUGUGAAAGUUUGCGGCUCAACCGUAAAAUUGCAAUUGAUACUGGCAGCCUUGAGUACAGUUGAGGUAGGCGGAAUUCGUGGUGUAGCGGUGAAAUGCUUAGAUAUCACGAAGAACUCCGAUUGCGAAGGCAGCCUACUAAACUGCCACUGACAUUGAUGCUCGAAAGUGUGGGUAUCAAACAGGAUUAGAUACCCUUGUAGUC